RNAcentral lists this ribosomal RNA (1241 nucleotides) under metagenome. Its description in RNAcentral is "bacterial LSU rRNA". It matches the Rfam family "Bacterial large subunit ribosomal RNA", at positions 1564 to 2815 of the family's 2925-position model. The record is from RNAcentral.
UGAGUACGAGAUGCUACGGCAUCGAAGCAGUCUAUGUCAUACUUCCAAGAAAAGCUUGCACUGUCAUAAACAAAGAAUGCCUGUACCAUAACCGACACAGGUGGGUAGGUAGAGUAUACUAAGGGGCGCGAGAUAACUCUCUCUAAGGAACUCGGCAAAAUGACUCCGUAACUUCGGGAGAAGGAGUGCCUUAUUUCUAAGGUUGCAAUAACAAGAUCCAAGCAACUGUUUACCAAAAACACAGGUCUCCGCUAAGUCGUAAGACGAUGUAUGGGGGCUGACGCCUGCCCAGUGCCAGAAGGUUAAAGAAGUUGGUUAGCAUUAGCGAAGCUGAUAACUGAAGCCCAGGUGAACGGCGGCCGUAACGAUAACGGUCCUAAGGUAGCGAAAUUCCUUGUCGGGUAAGUUCCGACCCGCACGAAAGGCGUAAUGAUUUGGAUACUGUCUCGGAGAGGGGCUCGGUGAAAUAGACUUGUCUGUGAAGAUGCGGACUACCUGCACCUGGACAGAAAGACCCUAUGAAGCUUUACUGUAACUUGAGAUUGAAAUUGGACUUUAUUUGCGCAGUAUAGGUGGGAGGCGUUGAGAAUAAUCUUGCGGGAUUGUUGGAGCCAUCAGUGAGAUACCACUCUUGUAAUGUUAGAUUUCUAACUUUGUAUCAUUAUCUGGUCAAAGAACAGUUUCAGGCGGGCAGUUUGACUGGGGCGGUCGCCUCCCAAAGGGUAACGGAGGCGCACAAAGGUCUCCUCUGAACGGGUAGAAAUCGUAUCUAGAGUGUAAAGGCAUAAGGAAGCUUGACUGUGAGACCUACAAGUCGAGCAGGGACGAAAGUCUGUCUUAGUGAUCUGACGGUGCUGAGUGGAAAGGCCGUCACUCAACGGAUAAAAGCUACUCUAGGAUAACAGGCUGAUCUCCCCCAAGAGUUCACAUCGACGGGGAGGUUUGGCACCUCGAUGUCGGCUCAUCGCAUCCUGGGGCGGUAGUCCGUCCCAAGGGUUGGGCUGUUCGCCCAUGAAAGCGGUACGCGAGCUGGGUUCAGAACGUCGUGAGACAGUUCGGUCCAUAUCCGGUGUAGGCGUUAGAAUAUUGAGAGGAGCCUUCUCUAGUACGAGAGGACCGAGAAGGACAUACCUCUGGUGUACCAGUUAUCGUGCCAACGGUAAACGCUGGGUAGCUAUGUAUGGAGUGGAUAACCGCUGAAAGCAUCUAAGUGGGAAGCCCACCUCAAGAUAAGUAUUCCC